RNAcentral lists this ribosomal RNA (253 nucleotides) under uncultured bacterium. RNAcentral describes it as "partial 16S ribosomal RNA". It matches the Rfam family "Bacterial small subunit ribosomal RNA", at positions 524 to 776 of the family's 1533-position model. The record is from RNAcentral.
UACGAAGGGGGCUAGCGUUACUCGGAUUGACUGGGCGUAAAGGGCGCGUAGGCGGUUUGUACAGUCAGACGUGAAAUUCCUGGGCUCAACCUGGGGGCUGCGUUUGAUACGUGCGGACUUGAGUUCGGAAGAGGGUCGUGGAAUUCCCAGUGUAGAGGUGAAAUUCGUAGAUAUUGGGAAGAACACCGGUGGCGAAGGCGGCGCUCUGGACCGAGACUGACGCUGAGGCGCGAAAGCGUGGGGAGCAAACAGG